This 192-nucleotide long non-coding RNA is filed under the name Fukomys damarensis (Damara mole-rat). Its description in RNAcentral is "lncRNA (ENSFDAG00000026477.1)". The record is from RNAcentral. Lineage: Eukaryota; Metazoa; Chordata; Mammalia; Rodentia; Bathyergidae.
GGCUUAGAUUCUCAGCUCUUAUUUUUAGAAGUUGGGGCCUGGACUGGUUGCCCGAGGGCACAGAUGCCAGCUGGAACCCCUAGGGGUUUGGGUGGACACUGCCCACCCUGGGCUUCUUCUGAAGGACCUCUCCUUCCCCAAGGGCCUGGCUGGCAUCAGAGAUCGAAAUUCCUGGCCUGGAUAACUGUGUGA